Molecule: ribosomal RNA, 253 nt
Filed under: uncultured bacterium
Lineage: Bacteria
Description: partial 16S ribosomal RNA
Rfam family: Bacterial small subunit ribosomal RNA
Source: RNAcentral
UACGUAGGGGGCGAGCGUUGCUCGGAAUUACUGGGCGUAAAGGGCUCGUAGGCGGCCAACUAAGUCAGACGUGAAAUCCCUCGGCUCAACUGAGGAACUGCCUUUGAAACUGCCUGGCUUGAGGCCGGGAGGGGGUAGCGGAAUUCCCAGUGUAGCGGUGAAAUGCGUAGAUAUUGGGAGGAACACCAGUGGCGAAGGCGGCUACCUGGACCGGUUCUGACGCUGAUGCGCGAAAGCGUGGGUAGCAAACAGG